GCUUGCUGGGUGGAAGAGUGGCGAACGGGUGAGUAACACGUGAGUAACCUGCCCUGAACUCUGGGAUAAGCACUGGAAACGGUGUCUAAUACUGGAUACGACCUAUCACCGCAUGGUGUGUGGGUGGAAAGAUUUAUCGGUUUUGGAUGGACUCGCGGCCUAUCAGCUAGAUGGUGAGGUAAUGGCUCACCAUGGCGACGACGGGUAGCCGGCCUGAGAGGGUGACCGGCCACACUGGGACUGAGACACGGCCCAGACUCCUACGGGAGGCAGCAGUGGGGAAUAUUGCACAAUGGGCGCAAGCCUGAUGCAGCAACGCCGCGUGAGGGAUGACGGCCUUCGGGUUGUAAACCUCUUUUAGUAGGGAAGAAGCGAAAGUGACGGUACCUGCAGAAAAAGCACCGGCUAACUACGUGCCAGCAGCCGCGGUAAUACGUAGGGUGCAAGCGUUGUCCGGAAUUAUUGGGCGUAAAGAGCUCGUAGGCGGCUUGUCGCGUCUGCUGUGAAAUCCCGGGGCUCAACCCCGGGCCUGCAGUGGGUACGGGCAAGCUAGAGUGCGGUAGGGGAGAUUGGAAUUCCUGGUGUAGCGGUGGAAUGCGCAGAUAUCAGGAGGAACACCG
This 620-nucleotide ribosomal RNA is filed under the name Leucobacter aridicollis. Its description in RNAcentral is "bacterial SSU rRNA". It matches the Rfam family "Bacterial small subunit ribosomal RNA", at positions 78 to 711 of the family's 1533-position model. The record is from RNAcentral. RNAcentral also lists the same sequence under 1 other name. Lineage: Bacteria; Bacillati; Actinomycetota; Actinomycetes; Micrococcales; Microbacteriaceae.